This 3464-nucleotide long non-coding RNA is filed under the name Homo sapiens (human). Its description in RNAcentral is "HSALNT0224523". Lineage: Eukaryota; Metazoa; Chordata; Mammalia; Primates; Hominidae. The record is from RNAcentral.
CGACGUAGAUGCUAUUAUCAUCCCCAAGAUCACACUGCUACACGGCGGGCUUCCCCAGCGGCCACGUGAGGUGUGAUGCCCCCACCGCUGAGCGCAGGCACAGACCACCCAGCUGCCUUGGAGGGAUUUGUAAAAGGUGAACAUUGUCACUAUUUUCAAUACUUUUUUUGUGUUUCUUUUCAAAAAGAUAUAAUUUAUGUUAACAUGUAAUGGGCUUAUUAUUUUUUUAAUUCACUAGUAUCUUUAAAAAAUCUCUCAGUUUAAUUUCUAAUAUCAAUAGAUAUUCUCACAUAAACAAAUACUCUUUGAGGGCCUCAAUAUUUUUUUUAUUUUAUUUUAUUAUUUUUUUCUGAGACAGAGUCUCGCUCUGUUGCCCAGGCUGGAGUGCAGUGGUGUGAUCUCGGCUCACUGCAACAUCUGCCUCCCGUGUUCAAGAAAUUCUUCUCCCUCAGCCUCCCGUGUAGCUGGGAUUAUAGACGUGCGUCACCAUGCCCAGCUAACUUUUGUAUUUUUAGUAGAGACGGGGUUUCACCAUGUUGGCCAGGCUGGUCUCGAACUCCCGACCUCGGGUGAUCCACCUGCCUCAGCCUCCCAAAGUGCUGGGAUUACAGGCAUGAGCCACUGUGCCUGGCCUAUUUUAUUUUAUUUUACUAGUGUUACUUUUUGAGAUGGAAUUUCACUCUUGUCGCCCAGGCUGCAGUACAGUGGUGUUCACUGCAACCUCUGCCUCCCGGGUUCAAGCGACUCUCUCGCCUCAGCCUCUCAAGUAGCUGGGAUUACAGGAACCCGCUACCAUGCCUGGCUAAUUUCUGUAUUUUUAGUAGAGACGGUGUUUCACCAUGUUGGCCAGGCUGGUCUUGAACUCCUGACCUCAGGUGAUUCGCCCGCCUUGGCCUCCCAAAAUGCUGGGAUGACAGGCAUGAGCCACUGCGCCAGGCCUCCAUGUUUUUUAAGGCUGUAAAGUAGUCCUAAAAGAAAAUGUGGGAGCCACUAAUGUAUAGCAAAUUUCUGAAAUUCUCCCAGAUAGCUUCAAUGUCUACACAGCUUUGGUUGCAAGAGAUGAUUAUCUAUUUAUCUCAUCAUAAGGUCAAACUGUCGGCCAUAGAAAGGACUUUACGGUAAGCAACUUCAUUAGCCUACAGUGCUUCUUUGUGGUUCAUUCCAGUGACAGCCUCAGGUGGCUAUGAAGCCACGUGGCUUCAGAGGAGGGAAGAGGCAGACAAGGGCAGAACCCACAGUGCAACAGAAAGAGCGUGGCCGCUGAGAUCAGAGAGACCUGGGUUCAGAUUCCAGCCUCUUUUUACAGAUUCAAAGAGACUCAAGAGAAUAUCAAACGAAUGCAGAGCCAACUGGGAAAAUCUAAAUACCGACCAGGCAUUGAAUUAUAUUAAGGAGUUAUUUUUAAUUUUGUUAAGUGUAAUAGCGGCAUUGUGGUUAUGUUUUUUAAAAAAGGUUCUCGUCGGCCUUAAACUGCUGGAGACAUUUCAAGGUACAAUACUAUACUAGCCAGUCACGGGACUGAGGUGGGAGGUAGGUUUGGAGAGACUGGCAGAAUGCUGAUAAUGAGUGAAGCUGAGGAUGGGCACCACAGGCCUUUUAUAACUCUUCUGUUUGAGUAUAUUUAAAAUUUUGCACCAUUCAUCGGGUUUCUUUUUUAUUUUGAGACAGCGUCUCUCUCUUGCCCAGGCUGGAAUGCAAUGGCGCAAACAUGGCUCACUGCAGCCUCAACCUCCUUGGGCUUAGGUGAUCCUCCCCACCUCAGCCUCCUGAGUAGCUCGAACCACAGGCACGUGCCACCACGCCUUUUUUUUUUUCAUAGAGACAGGGUCUCACCAUCUUGCCCAGGCUGGCCUCAAACUGCUGGACUCACACGAUCCUCUGGCCUCAGCCUCCCAAAGUGUUGGGACUAUAGGCGUGAGCCACCAUGCUCAGCUGCAUUUUUUCAAAUCCUAGUCCUUCACCUAUUAGCUAAGGCCCUUAAACAAGUCACUUAACCUUUUAGAAUGGAAAAUAAUACUCAUUCUUGUAGGGUGUUGUCAGGAUUGAAAAAAAAUGGCUGAGGUAGAACUCUUACUCCUGGAGUCUGGCCCAAAGUGAUCAUGAUAAUAGCUGAUGUUUAUUCAGCACAUAUGCUUCCCAGGUAUUAUCUUAUUCAACCCUCACAACCAACCCAUGAUCUAGGUAGCAUUAUCUCCAUUUUUCAAAUGAGUAAACUGAGGCAAUCAGAAGUUUAAAAAUCUACUCAAGGUCAUACAGCAAGAUGCAAACCCUGGGAGUCUCAUCCCAGACCUCGUGUGCUCUAUACUUUCCCCUGUAGACACUCAAAAAAUGGUGGGUUUUGUUUUGAACAUGUCAUAUCAACACAGCUUACAUAAACACACUCUGGCAACUGGAUGCUAUGUAAAAAAUAUCAGGACAGUUAAAUUGCUUUAAAAUCUACUCCUACCAGGAAACAACCCAUGUACCUGUUAAGUGCAGAUGUCAGCCUGAACCCAGGAUGCUUUUCGUCUUUCCAAGGAGGCUGCUGCCUUUAAAAACCAGAACAACAUAAAAGGAAAAGAAGUCAAUCCACAGACAGCAAAGGAGGGCCUCAGCACUUGCAUUUGAGAACUGGCUCUUCUACUCACCUCGCUCUGCAAGAGUUACUUAAAAAUACCCCACACCUCGCUCAUUUUGCUCAUCAUUGUUAAAAUGAGGUAAGACUCCAUGAUCCUUCCAGUCCUGUGAUCUCUGAUUUCCAGUAUAAAAACUACUACAAACCCAUAAGGCACAGGAUUAGCUAGCUGGGCAGAUGAGGAGUUCAGUGUGCAUGUAGGGGGCGCCGUGGCAAUCUUGGAUGCAAAAAUUUUGCAUUCCCCUACCAAUGGCCAUGAAGAGGAAUAGAAUUGUUACAGUUGCCCAGGGUAUGAAAAUAUUAAGUCUAACCAGUCCUGGUGCUCUGAAAAGCAGAAGACAUUUCUUGGAUACAUAAAAGAAAAAUAACAGUUUGGAGAUGACUUUUACUGAUGUAAUAAAAUAUUGUAUUUAUUCUACAACCCUGGAUCCCAAGAUUCUUGAGGGCAGCUGAAAACCUACCUGAGGUGGGGACCCACUGUUACCCAUCUUUAUUUCCUUUCCCAGAUCCAGACUACAUUAUACACAGUAAGUUCUCAGUCAGUAUUUGCCCAGAGAAUGGAUGGAGAGUAGACUUCAAUCCGGAGAGCUAAAUAUUUUUGAUACACACAUUUUAAAUGUGUCCUAAAUCUGACUUGGUGAUCUGAAAAUGAUACUAGGCACACAACAGAUGCAGCAGGGGCUUUUUCUCAGUUAAUUCUAUUUCCUGUUACCCUCUGUAUUGGGUACAAAAAUACUCAAAGAGACCUUAAAUCAAAUACACUGUGCAAAUUACCAUUUUAAGAGUCUUUUGUCCUUUUCAGCAGCUUACUAAGACACUCUGAGAAAAGAUGCUUAUUUUUCUUUCUUUU